AAUAGAUACCCAGGUAGUCCACGCCGUAAACGGUGGGUACUAGGUGUGGGUUUCCUUCCUUGGGAUCCGUGCCGUAGCUAACGCAUUAAGUACCCCGCCUGGGGAGUACGGUCGCAAGACUAAAACUCAAAGGAAUUGACGGGGGCCCGCACAAGCGGCGGAGCAUGUGGAUUAAUUCGAUGCAACGCGAAGAACCUUACCUGGGUUUGACAUGCACAGGACGUACCUAGAGAUAGGUAUUCCCUUGUGGCCUGUGUGCAGGUGGUGCAUGACUGUCGUCAGCUCGUGUCGUGAGAUGUUGGGUUAAGUCCCGCAACGAGCGCAACCCUUGUCCUAUGUUGCCAGCGGGUAAUGCCGGGGACUCGUAGGAGACUGCCGGGGUCAACUCGGAGGAAGGUGGGGAUGACGUCAAGUCAUCAUGCCCCUUAUGUCCAGGGCUUCACACAUGCUACAAUGGCCAGUACAGAGGGCUGCGAAGCCGCAAGGUGGAGCGAAUCCCUUAAAGCUGGUCUCAGUUCGGAUUGGGGUCUGC
This 532-nucleotide ribosomal RNA is filed under the name uncultured bacterium. Its description in RNAcentral is "bacterial SSU rRNA". It matches the Rfam family "Bacterial small subunit ribosomal RNA", at positions 777 to 1308 of the family's 1533-position model. The record is from RNAcentral.